GGAACCUGGAGAAAACCUUCAUAGUAAUCGUCCUCAGCACUAUCCAGGUAAGGGAAACCUUCUCAAAUAGAUCAUUGCUGUACUACUCCUCUCUGCCGGACUGUACUCCCUCGUCCUCACAGUCAACAAUCUGAGCAUAAAGUCGACUUCUGCCAUUAUAUCCAUCCUGGCAUAUCCCGGGGGCAUUUUUGUGGCUCUCCUUCUGAUUGGACUAGUCGUGAAUAGCAUUGGCUGUUUUGGAGUGCUCAGAGAAAACACAAAACUCAUCAGAAUUUUCUCAAAGUGUCUGAAAGUGUUGUUAUCUUUAAUUAUCCUCAUUUUCCUGUUCGUGUCUGUCUACGUCUCCAUUCCCCAAGUCUCCCAGUACUUCAAUCAACUCAACAUUGGCGGGAAAAUGUCCUUUAUUGUGGAGAAGUACCAGGAUGAUGCCAAUUUGAGGAACAUUAUCGACUCGAUUCAAUCCUUCGCUCACUGUUGUGGUCUCAACGACCCCGAAGACUGGGAUAAAAACAUAUAUUUUAGUCAACAACUCGACAAUCUGGCGAAAGAGCGUGGAGGAGUGCCCUUUUCGUGUUGUACUGUCGACAAACAGGACUUGGAGUGUGGGAAUGGAGUCAGGGUAUUAUUGGGGUGACUGAGGCAGAUGAACGGGGAAAUUUCCAAGUACUAUCACGUGGGGUGUCUGACUAAGUUUAAACAACUGUUUAUGAAGUAUCGGUGGUAUAUUAUUGGCAUUCUUGGGGGAUAUAUAUUCAUAUUGGUACUUUUUUAAUCAUUUUUAGCUUUCCUUUAUGUUGCUUGUUAGUCAUACCAAGAAUACCGUCUGGCUAAACAACCGGCGACGGGGAGUUGUUUAAUUUUAUUUUUUA
Molecule: long non-coding RNA, 869 nt
Organism: Octopus sinensis (East Asian common octopus)
Lineage: Eukaryota; Metazoa; Mollusca; Cephalopoda; Octopoda; Octopodidae
Exons: 3
Source: RefSeq, a predicted model, not a curated record